GCAUAUCAAUAAGCGGAGGAAAAGAAACCAACCGGGAUUGCCUCAGUAACGGCGAGUGAAGCGGCAAAAGCUCAAAUUUGAAAUCUGGCGCCCGCCCGAAUUGUAAUUUGAAGAAGCGACUUUGGACCUGGCUCUUGUCUAAGUUCCUUGGAACAGGACGUCAUAGAGGGUGAGAAUCCCGUUAGAUGAGAUGCCCAGGGCCGUGUAAAGCGUUUUCGACGAGUCGAGUUGUUUGGGAAUGCAGCUCUAAGUGGGUGGUAAAUUCCAUCUAAAGCUAAAUAUUGGCGAGAGACCGAUAGCGAACAAGUACAGUGAUGGAAAGAUGAAAAGAACUUUGAAAAGAGAGUGAAAAAGUACGUGAAAUUGUUGAAAGGGAAGGGCUUGUGAUCAGACUUUGCAUUUCUAUGGCUUCCUUUCGGGGGGGUCCUCUGGAGUUGUAGGGCCAGCAUGGGUUGGAGGGGUGAGAUAAUGGGGAAGGAAUGUGGCUCUGCCUCGGUAGAGUGUUAUAUCCUUUUCUGAUGUCACCACCUUCGACCGAGGACUGCGGUACUAGGAUGC
RNAcentral lists this ribosomal RNA (558 nucleotides) under Suhomyces sp. DG-2024a. RNAcentral's name for it is "partial 26S ribosomal RNA". It matches the Rfam family "Eukaryotic large subunit ribosomal RNA", at positions 38 to 573 of the family's 3401-position model. Lineage: Eukaryota; Fungi; Ascomycota; Pichiomycetes; Serinales; Debaryomycetaceae. The record is from RNAcentral.